GUGGUGGCACAAAAUCGGAAGCCCCGACUGUUUACUAAAAACACAGCUAUCUGCAACGAUGUAAAUCAUAGUAUAGGUAGUGAGGUUUNCCCGAUGCCAUUAAUAUAAGAGAAGUGAUGGGUAACNNUUAAUUAUCGAAAAUCUGGUUAAUAGCGGUCUUAACUAUGAGGAUCCUAAGGUAGCAAAAUAAAUUGGCCAUUAAAUGU
RNAcentral lists this ribosomal RNA (206 nucleotides) under Suilloid fungal sp. 25MR. Its description in RNAcentral is "partial large subunit ribosomal RNA". It matches the Rfam family "Bacterial large subunit ribosomal RNA", at positions 1773 to 1983 of the family's 2925-position model. The record is from RNAcentral. Lineage: Eukaryota; Fungi; Basidiomycota; Agaricomycetes; Boletales; Boletaceae.